AUGAAGCAUGGUUGUGUCUUCAGUGCGCACCGCCGGAUGAAUGACAUGCUGGGACACGCUAUCCCUGAUUUAUGCCGCUUCAGCUUGGAUGAGUCUCCAUCGUGUGGAACCGGACUAGAAAGUUGCGACAAUGAUUCCCGUUGCCCACUGCUAUGGAACGUGCCAUCCAUGAAGAACACCUGGGACUGGAACCUGGAGGAGGACAUAGUUGAUUUGAGAACAGUAGUAUACCAUAUAACUGGAAUUAACCGAUGCAAGUCGAAGAAGGAUUGGUCGGUGCUGCCGGCUGGCGUCAAGUUCGAUCCCACGAAUCAGGAGCUGAUCGAGCACCUUGAGGCCAAAGUGAGUGCUGACAGUGCGAGAUCUCACCCUCUCAUCGAUUUGUUCAUACCAACCAUCGACAGCGAGCACGGCAUAUGCUACACCCAUCCUGAGAAACUUCCAGAUGCAGACCUGCGCAAUUAUAGGGCGUUCAAAAGGGGCACGUGGACGCGUCGCAAGAUACAGUCGGAGUGCGGCAUGCACGCGAUGUGGCACAACACCGGCAAUACCUUGCCGGUGAUGGUCAACGGCCGGCAGACGGGCAUCAAAAAGGUUCUGGUGCUGCACACCAACAAGAACUUCGACCAGCAGAGGACCAACUGGGUGAUGCACCAGUACCACCUCAGGGACCUGGAGCAAGAGAAGGAGCGGGAGCUGGCCCAGCCCAUGAAGACAACGGGGCACAAAGAUCCAGCAAGUAUCUACUGGCCUCUGGCCCGCCAGCGUUAG
Molecule: ribosomal RNA, 771 nt
Filed under: Triticum aestivum (bread wheat)
Lineage: Eukaryota; Viridiplantae; Streptophyta; Magnoliopsida; Poales; Poaceae
Description: partial small subunit ribosomal RNA
Source: RNAcentral